GUGGAUUAGAUACCCUGGUAGUCCUAGCCGUAAACGAUGGACACUAGGUGUUGGUGGUAUCAACCCCGCCAGUGCCGAAGCUAACGCAUUAAGUGUCCCGCCUGGGGAGUACGGCCGCAAGGCUAAAACUCAAAGGAAUUGACGGGGGCCCGCACAAGCAGCGGAGCGUGGGGUUUAAUUCGACGCAACGCGAAGAACCUUACCAGGACUUGACAUGACCAGGACAACGGCGGAAACGUCGUCUCCCCGCAAGGGGCCUGGCCACAGGUGUUGCACGGCUGUCGCCAACU
Molecule: ribosomal RNA, 290 nt
Filed under: uncultured bacterium
Lineage: Bacteria
Description: partial 16S ribosomal RNA
Rfam family: Bacterial small subunit ribosomal RNA
Source: RNAcentral